Molecule: ribosomal RNA, 1229 nt
Filed under: metagenome
Description: bacterial LSU rRNA
Rfam family: Bacterial large subunit ribosomal RNA
Source: RNAcentral
UUACACAGGUAGUCGAGGAGAAUAUCCUAAGGCGCUCGAGUGAUCCGUGGUAAAGGAACUAGGCAAAUUGACGCUAUAACUUCGGGAUAAGGCGUGCCGCAGUGAUGCGGCCUCAGUAAAAUGGUCCAACCAACUGUUUAACAAAAACACAGGGCCCUGCAAAAUCGAAAGAUGACGUAUAGAGCCUGAUACCUGCCCGGUGCUGGAAGGUUAAGGAAGGAUGUUCGGCGCAAGCCAAAGCUUCUGACUGAAGCCCCAGUAAACGGCGGCCGUAACAAUAACGGUCCUAAGGUAGCGAAAUUCCUUGUCGGGUAAGUUCCGACCUGCACGAAUGGUCUAAUGAGUUGGACACUGUCUCUACCACGAGCUCGGUGAAAUUGUAGUAUCGGUGAAGAUGCCGGUUAAUCGCAACGGGACGGAAAGACCCCGUGAACCUUCACUACAACUUAACAUUGAUUUUGAAUGCCAGAUGUGUAGGAUAGUUGGGAGACUUUGAAGCAGCUUCGCUAGGAGUUGUGGAGUCGUCGUUGAAAUACCAACCUUCUGUUAUUUAGAGUCUAACUCCUGUAAGGGAGGACAUUGUUUGGUGGGUAGUUUGACUGGGGUGGUCGCCUCCUAAAAAGUAACGGAGGCUUGCAAAGGUACCCUCAGUACGGUUGGUAAUCGUACGCAGAGCGCAUUAGUAUAAGGGUGCUUGACUGUGAGGCAAACAAGCCGAGCAGGAGCGGAAGCUGGCUAAAGUGAUCCGGUGGUUCUGAAUGGAAGGGCCAUCGCUCAAAGGAUAAAAGGUACUCCGGGGAUAACAGGCUGAUCUCACCCAAGAGCUCAUAUCGACGGUGAGGUUUGGCACCUCGAUGUCGGUUCGUCACAUCCUGGGGCUGGAGAAGGUCCCAAGGGUUCGGCUGUUCGCCGAUUAAAGUGGCACGUGAACUGGGUUCAGAACGUCGCAAGACAGUUCGGUCCCUAUCUGUUGUGAUCGUUAGUAAAUUGAGAGGACAUGACCUUAGUACGAGAGGACCGGGUCGUACGUACCGCUGGUGUAUCUGUUGUGCCGCCAGGUGCAGUGCGGAGUAGCUAUGUACGGGCAAGAUAAACGCUGAAAGCAUCUAAGCGUGAAACUUACCUCGAGAUGAGUUUACUUUUAAGGGCCGUCGGAGACUACGACGUUGAUAGGCUACAGGUGUAAGGAUAGUAAUAUCGAAGCCGAGUAGUACUAAUUGCCCGUAAGC